RNAcentral lists this ribosomal RNA (444 nucleotides) under uncultured soil bacterium. Its description in RNAcentral is "bacterial SSU rRNA". It matches the Rfam family "Bacterial small subunit ribosomal RNA", at positions 26 to 472 of the family's 1533-position model. The record is from RNAcentral.
AGGACGAACGCUGGCGGCGUGCUUAACACAUGCAAGUCGAGCGGUAAGGCCUUUCGGGGUACACGAGCGGCGAACGGGUGAGUAACACGUGGGUGAUCUGCCCUGCACUUCGGGAUAAGCCUGGGAAACUGGGUCUAAUACCGGAUAUGACCUCCUAUCGCAUGGUGGGUGGUGGAAAGAUUUUAUCGGUGCAGGAUGGGCCCGCGGCCUAUCAGCUUGUUGGUGGGGUAAUGGCCUACCAAGGCGACGACGGGUAGCCGACCUGAGAGGGUGACCGGCCACACUGGGACUGAGACACGGCCCAGACUCCUACGGGAGGCAGCAGUGGGGAAUUUGGACAAGUGGGACGAAAGGCCUAGAUCCAGCAAUGCCGCGUGCGAGGAAGAAGGCCGUUGGGUUAGUAACGUGUCUUUUCGGUACGAACGAAAAGGUCUACUUUACUAA